This 683-nucleotide ribosomal RNA is filed under the name uncultured Alphaproteobacteria bacterium. Its description in RNAcentral is "bacterial SSU rRNA". It matches the Rfam family "Bacterial small subunit ribosomal RNA", at positions 60 to 789 of the family's 1533-position model. Lineage: Bacteria; Pseudomonadati; Pseudomonadota; Alphaproteobacteria. The record is from RNAcentral.
AGUCGAACGAACCCUUCGGGGUUAGUGGCGGACGGGUGAGUAACACGUGGGAACGUGCCUUUUGGUUCGGAACAACUCAGGGAAACUUGAGCUAAUACCGAAUGUGCCCUUCGGGGGAAAGAUUUAUCGCCAUUAGAGCGGCCCGCGUCUGAUUAGCUAGUUGGUGAGGUAAAGGCUCACCAAGGCUACGAUCAGUAGCUGGUCUGAGAGGAUGAUCAGCCACACUGGGACUGAGACACGGCCCAGACUCCUACGGGAGGCAGCAGUUAGGAAUCUUGCGCAAUGGGCGAAAGCCUGACGCAGCCAUGCCGCGUGAAUGAUGAAGGUCUUAGGAUUGUAAAAUUCUUUCAGCGGGGACGAUAAUGACGGUACCCGCAGAAGAAGCUCCGGCUAACUUCGUGCCAGCAGCCGCGGUAAUACGAAGGGGGCUAGCGUUGCUCGGAAUUACUGGGCGUAAAGGGCGCGUAGGCGGACAGCUUAGUCAGAGGUGAAAGCCCAGGGCUCAACCUUGGAACUGCCUUUGAUACUGGCUGUCUUGAGUUCGGGAGAGGUGUGUGGAACUCCGAGUGUAGAGGUGAAAUUCGUAGAUAUUCGGAAGAACACCAGUGGCGAAGGCGACACACUGGCCCGAUACUGACGCUGAGGCGCGAAAGCGUGGGGAGCAAACAGGAUUAGAUACCCUG